UCGAAGGGAGCUCAAAGAUGCUCUCUCAAAUCCCGGGAAGAACGUCGGUGAACGAGUGAUCCGGUGCUUAGAACAACAGCGGAUAUGGGGCAGGAGGCUGGGUUCGGUAGGGUGGCCCUUUCCCUGGACAGAACAACUAGAGGAUGUGAAAGUCACUCUCCACCAAGCCAAGUUGAACUUUCGGCAUCAAUAAAUAUGGCACCGUCUCAUCAGUGCGCGAGUCAGACCCGGAGGCAUCUCUAUUUACAGAAAACGUGAUCUAUGUGGCUCUCGUUUCCUCUCCACCCGCACAGCCCGCGCGCGCACACAUGCAACACACUUCGCAGGGUGACAGCUACAACUGCAGAGACCGUAAUUCACGAACUCCAAUUUUGAUCAAGUUGUCGAAGCUCUAGACAAAGAAUUGUUGUGAGAAAAGUCAUUUUUCCUCAUAUGACCAGGGUAGCACUGCGCCAUGCUGAGAAGUCAGUCUGAUUUAAGGAAUCAUCAUACAGCAGAGUAGUAUUUAUGAUGAAACUCCCUGAGCUCCACUUUCCCACCUUUCUGUGACAUUUUUGGAGAAAACCUAGGAAGAAUAAAG
Fukomys damarensis (Damara mole-rat) is the source of this 580-nucleotide long non-coding RNA. RefSeq lists it as uncharacterized. NCBI's taxonomy places the organism in Eukaryota, Metazoa, Chordata, Mammalia, Rodentia, Bathyergidae. The record is from RefSeq and is a predicted model, not a curated record. The transcript is spliced from 3 exons.